AGCGAACGCUGGCGGCAGGCCUAAUACAUGCAAGUCGAACGCACCUUCGGGUGAGUGGCGGACGGGUGAGUAACGCGUGGGAACGUGCCCUUUGGUACGGAACAACUGAGGGAAACUUCAGCUAAUACCGUAUGUGCCCUUCGGGGGAAAGAUUUAUCGCCAUUGGAGCGGCCCGCGUUGGAUUAGCUAGUUGGUAGGGUAAAGGCCUACCAAGGCUACGAUCCAUAGCUGGUCUGAGAGGAUGAUCAGCCACACUGGGACUGAGACACGGCCCAGACUCCUACGGGAGGCAGCAGUAGGGAAUCUUGCGCAAUGGGCGAAAGCCUGACGCAGCCAUGCCGCGUGAAUGAUGAAGGUCUUAGGAUUGUAAAAUUCUUUCACCGGGGAAGAUAAUGACGGUACCCGGAGAAGAAGCCCCGGCUAACUUCGUG
RNAcentral lists this ribosomal RNA (431 nucleotides) under uncultured bacterium. RNAcentral's name for it is "bacterial SSU rRNA". It matches the Rfam family "Bacterial small subunit ribosomal RNA", at positions 29 to 507 of the family's 1533-position model. The record is from RNAcentral.